UGCCCGAAAGGGUGACGAUGCGACGCCGCGUGAGCGAAGAAGGCCCUAGGGUUGUAAAGCUCUGUCAGGGGUUAAGAAAUGUAGAUAGGUUAAUACCCUGUUUAUUUGACAAAAGCCCCAAAGGAAGCCACGGCUAACUCUGUGCCAGCAGCCGCGGUAAUACAGAGGUGGCAAGCGUUGUUCGGUAUUAUUGGGCGUAAAGAGCACGUAGGUGGUUUUGUAAGUCAGAUGUGAAAGCCUUCUGUUCAAAGGAAGAACGGCAUCUGAAACUGCAAAUCUUGGGUGUAGGAGGGGAGAGUGGAACUUCUGGUGGAGCGGUGAAAUGCGUAGAUAUCAGAAGGAACGUCGGCGGCGAAAGCGACUCUCUGGCCUAUUACUGACACUGAGUGUGCGAAAGUUAGGGGAGCAAACGGGAUUAGAUACCCCGGUAGUCCUAACCGUAAACGAUGGGCACUAAGUAGAGGGGU
RNAcentral lists this ribosomal RNA (467 nucleotides) under uncultured Planctomycetota bacterium. Its description in RNAcentral is "bacterial SSU rRNA". It matches the Rfam family "Bacterial small subunit ribosomal RNA", at positions 372 to 829 of the family's 1533-position model. Lineage: Bacteria; Pseudomonadati; Planctomycetota. The record is from RNAcentral.